AACGAACGCUGGCGGCAUGCCUAACACAUGCAAGUCGAACGAGACCUUCGGGUCUAGUGGCGCACGGGUGCGUAACGCGUGGGAACCUGCACUUAGGUUCGGCAUAACUCCCCGACAGGGGUGCUAAUACCGGAUAAUGUCUUCGGACCAAAGAUUUAUCGCCUCUGGAUGGGCCCGCGUUGGAUUAGCUAGUUGGUAAGGUAAAAGCCUACCAAGGCAACGAUGCAGAGCUGGUCUGAGAGGGUGAUCAGCCACACUGGGACUGAGACACGGCCCAGAGGAAUACGGGAGGCAGCAGGAGGGAAUCGUAUGCAAUGGGUGGAAGAUUGACGGAGGAACGCCGAGGGAGUGAUGAAGGUAUUGGGAGCGUAAAAAUCUGUUAGGAGGGAAGAACAAAUGUGUAAGUAAAUGUGAAGGUCGGGACGGUAAUGAAUAAGAAAGCAAAGGCUAACUACGUG
This 458-nucleotide ribosomal RNA is filed under the name uncultured bacterium. RNAcentral describes it as "partial 16S ribosomal RNA". It matches the Rfam family "Bacterial small subunit ribosomal RNA", at positions 30 to 507 of the family's 1533-position model. The record is from RNAcentral.